CAGCCGCCGCGGUAAUACGUAGGGUACAAGCGUUAAUCGGAAUUACUGGGCGUAAAGCGUGCGCAGGCGGUUAUAUAAGACAGAUGUGAAAUCCCCGGGCUCAACCUGGGACCUGCAUUUGUGACUGUAUAGCUAGAGUACGGUAGAGGGGGAUGGAAUUCCGCGUGUAGCAGUGAAAUGCGUAGAUAUGCGGAGGAACACCGAUGGCGAAGGCAAUCCCCUGGACCUGUACUGACGCUCAUGCACGAAAGCGUGGGGAGCAAACAGGAUUAGAUACCCCCGUAGUCCCUGUCUCUUAUAC
Molecule: ribosomal RNA, 301 nt
Filed under: uncultured bacterium
Lineage: Bacteria
Description: partial 16S ribosomal RNA
Rfam family: Bacterial small subunit ribosomal RNA
Source: RNAcentral